UGGUGAUAAUGAUGAUUCUAGUGAGGAAGAUAGAUGAUCUUCGAGAGACCAAUACCAAAACUCGGUCGAGAGCUCUCCUGGUGAAGUCUAAACCGGUCACAGUGAUGAAAAUAGAGAAAAUCUUUACAAGGAUUGUACAGGAAAUCCAGGUUUCAAUUUCCGGAGCAAGCGAUUUAUUCAACAAUUAUGCGAUUACGGAAGAAAGACUUACAAGGAUUUCUCAACAUGGUGCAAGUAAAUCCAGUCAGGCAUGAUCUUCAUAGGACGGCUCAAAUGAUGCAGUUAGACGUAGAUCCUCAUAAGGCAGGUAGUAUUGUCGGUUAUCGAAUCGUCUUUGUAAUCUUUCUCAUAAUUGUAAUAUCUAAAUAAAUCCCCGACAAAAAAAAAACUACUUUCAGUUAACUUGCCUUUUACUUGCAAGUCAAGGCUCUUUUACCCCCACUCUCAACUUUCUUGAUUAACAAAUUAGGUUUCUAAGGUUUUUACCCUAAUUUCAACUUUCUAGGCUUACAACUUCAAGAAGUAAUGCGAAGAACAACAGGGUGGUGAUUGUGGCUCUGACCCUAUAGUAAAAGAGAGUUUUUAGAUAUAUUACAUCAUAACAUAGAUCAUGGGAGUGUUGAUAGAUCGAUUCAUGGAACUAGACAUUCAUGAUUCCAUCAAAGUCUAUGAAAUCUUCGGUAAAGUUUCUAAACAGUUGGAUAAGUUAGAUCCAUUUUACGGGUGGUUAUUAGUGUAUAUAGCUGGUUUAGGUUGGUUUAGUAUAGAAUCAUACCGAUGGUUAAGUCUCAUUUAGCUUAAACCAUUGUAUAUAAAUUGAACCCAAUGUACAUUUUACAGGAUUAAGAAAUCAUAUUCACAUUAAUCAAUAUGGUAUCAGAGCCAUCAACGGCUUCUCCUUCUUCGAUUAAAGAUUCUUGAGCUCUUUUCAUGGUGUAUCGUCUCUAUUGAUGUCGCUUAGCUUCCAAAAUUUUCGAAUCUUAGCUGAUUUCUUCGAUCUUCUCGCUUCCAUCAUCAAUUUCACUUUCUGAUUCGUCAUUUUCCUCGUUUCCUUCCUCUGAUUCUCUCUGAUUCUUGGUUAUAUCACGCUUCACACUUUUCUUGGGCUCCGUUCUCUUCUUCGAUGGCGUCUUCGCAAUCGAUUCCAGGAUUUCAAGAUCAUUAUGAGAAUCCAUACUUCCUCCAUAGCCACGAUCAUGCUGGUUUGGUCCUCGUCUCCGAUCGUCUUUCUUCUGGUGCAGAGUUUCAUUCAUGGAGUCACUUAGUUCGAAUGGCUUUGAAUGUGCGCAACAAGCUCGGAUUUAUUGACAGUAUGAUUCCUAAACUGCCUGAGACUCAUCGUGAUGAUGGAUCUUGGUCAAGAUGCAAUGAUAUGGUUGCAACUUGGCUAAUGAACUCGAUUUCUAAAAAAAAUUGUUCCAAGUUUUUUGUUUAAGUCCACUAUUGAAUCGAUCUAGAAGAAUUUGCUAGCUCGUUUCAAGCAAGAUGAUGCUCCUAGGGUGUAUGAGAUUGAGCAACACCUAGGUAGUAUACAACAAGGAUCGAUGGAUGUAACAACAUACUACACUGAGUUGAUUACGAUAUGGAAGGAGUACAAGAACUAUGUGGAGAUCCCAGUCUGCACUUGUGGUAAAUGCGAGUGUAAUGCUGCUCAAUCUUGGAGUCUCUGCAGAAACGAAGUCGAGUUACAAAGUUAAUAAUAGGACUUAAUGAGUCUUUUGAGUACAUCUGGCGACAGAUCUUAAUGUUGAAACCUCUCCCGAAUAUUGAAGAUGUGUUUAAUCUCAUUACUCAAGAUGAGAGACAGAGAGUUGUGAAGCCAUCUUUGAAGGUUGAUAAUGUGAUCUUUCAGGCUUAUGGACUAUAUGUUCCUUCUACUUUCACUGGAUAUAUUGAUAAUCCGGUUCUUUCUGCUCAGUAGCAGAACAACUAUCAUUAGAAGCAACACCAUGUGUGUACCUACUGUGGCCAGUUUGGACAUAUUGCUCAAAAAUGUUUCAAACUUCACGGCUACCCUCCAGGACACCGGCUUCAUGAUAAUUCUGUUUUGCAAUAGGGCUCAGGUCAGGUGUCGACUACACAGAACAGUCAUUACAGUAAUCAAUGUUCCAUGCAGUCUCAGCCGCAACAGCCAUAUAUGAAAAACAAUACGAUAGCUAAUGUUGUCAGCUCCAAUUCAUGAUCGGUUCUAGUUAACCUUGAUCUUAGUAUCAUAAACGUGGAUCAAGUUAAUAAUCUCAUUCAAACUUCAAUGUCAAGUUCAUCCUUCUGCGUUUGUUAUUCAUGUUCAUUGUGCUUCUAUAACUGAUGCUGGUUACAUGUAUCCUCAAUCCUCAACUGGUAUAAUACAUUGUCUUUCUACAAACUUAAGUUAUGAACACCAAACUUUAACAUUUCAUCACCAAUGCCUUUCCAUGUUAUACAACUUUCUUCCUAGUGGUUCUUGGAUUCUUGACAAUGGAGCCACUACCCAUGUGUGUUCUGACUUGACAUGGUUUAGUGUUCUCUCUAUAGUGGUUGGUGUAAUAAUCUCACUACCAAAUGGCGUUAGGGAAAUCAUUAGUCAUAUAAGAACUAUUCAUCUAUGUCAUACGAUUGUUUUACAUAAUGUGUUGCAUGUUCCUUCAUUUCAGUUUAAUCUCAUUAGCAUCAAUACUUUGAUUAAAGACACAAAAUGUUCUGCUCACUUUUAUCCUGAAUGUUGCUUGCUUGAAGAGUCUAUUAAGGGCUUGAUGAUUGGUAGAGGAACUCUUACGUGCAAUCUCUAUAUUCUUGAUACAGUCGUUGAUCUUGCUACCAUCAAUCUUUGUGGAACCUUGCAAGGGGAUGGACAUCUUUGGCAUCAACGCCUUGGACAUCCAUCAUUGAACAAGUUACAACAUAUUCCUGGUAUUUCAUCUGUGUCUAAGUCUAGUUCUACUUCUAUAGUUUAAUGUCUUGUUUGUCUAUUAGCGAAACAAAAGAGGUUACCAUAUGUGUCUCAUAAUCAUCUUUCGGACAACCCAUUUGAUAUUGUUCAUCUUGAUAUAUGGGGUCCAUUUUUAAUAGAGUCAAUUGAGGGUUAUAAAUAUUUUUUAACAGUUGUUGAUGAUUGUACCCGUGUGACAUGGAUAUAUCUUUUACGAAAUAAAAGUGAUGUUUCAACAGUAUUUCCAUUGUUUCUUACUCAUGUUAAAACUCAAUAUAACUUAUCUAUUAAGUGUAUCCGAUUUGACAGCGCUCCUGAAUUAGCAUUUUCUCAUAUGAUUGAAGAACAUAGCAUAGUUCACCAAUUUUCUUAUGCUUAUACUCCACAACAUAAUUUUGUUGUGGAACGCAAACAUCAACAUUUGAUCAAUGUUGCUAGAGCUCUUAUGUUUCAGUCAAAUAUCCAUAUCUCAUAUUGGUCUGAUUGUGUAUAUGCUGUUGUGUUUCUCAUAAACAGAACACCAUUUUACUUCUAAAGAACAAAUCUCCCUAUGAACUGCUCAUAAACAAAGCUCAUGUUUACUCUUUUCUUCGAACAUUUGAUUGUUUGUGAUAUGUGUCUACUCUUGAUAAGGAUAUGAACAAAUUUACUCGUGUUGAAUCUUGUGUUUUCAUUGGUUUUCCAUCGGGUGUAAAAGGGUAUAAAGUCUUGAGUAUAGAAACUAAUAUCAUCUCGGUUACUCGAAAUCCUAUUUUUCAUGAACAUGUUUUCCCUUUUAAAGAUUUACAUCAUUCGCAUUCACCUGAUGUCAUGUUUCCUAGUACUAUAUUGCCUACAUCUACACAUGUAUCUCUUGAUUCAUUUAGUGAGGUUCAUAUUCAUGCAUCUUUUGCUCAUGUUCAUGAUAGUUCAUCACAUGCAUCGUCUUAUAAUGCCACCACGAAUAAGACUGUUGCACGAACUACAUAACAUGCUCGCUUACUCUGUGCCCGGCCACAACGCACAUCUAAGGUUCCAUGUUAUCUCUCUGACUAUCACUGUUCUUUUAUUCAUAAAACAGAACCUCUUACUUCCACUUAUACUCCUUUAUAUCCCUUAUCCUCUAUUGAUACUUGUUCCAACCGUCAACCUCUUUUUCAAUCCUAUAUUUUAUCAUAUUCCCUUGAAAGAGAACCUAAAACUUUCAAAGAGGCCAUGGCAUCACCUCAGUUUAGGAAAAUGAUGGCAGAUGAGUUGCAUGUAAUGGAGGAUAAUGAGACCUUCACAGUUGUUUCCUUACCACCUAGAAAGAACAUUAUGGGCUGUAAGUGGAUUCACACGAUUACAUAUCUUGCUGAUGGUACGGUGGAACGUCCAAAGUCACGCCUCGAUUCUAAAGGUUUCACACAAUAAGAAGAAGUUGAUUUCACUGACACCUUCUCUCAUGUUGCUAAGCUUGCUAGUGUUAAAAUAUUACUUGCUUUAGUUGUGAUAAAAGGUUGGUCUCUUUCUCAGAUGGACGUAUCCAAUGCGUUUUUUCAUAGUGAGCUGGAUGAAGAAAUACACAUGACACUUCCUCAAGGAUACACUUCAGCUUCAUGUGUUAUUCUUUCUAAUCAUGUAUGGCGCUUGCACAAGUCAAUUUAUGGAGUCAAGCCUCCCGUCAGUGGUACCAUUGCUUGUCUGAUGAGUAGAUACAAUUUGGUUUCUCACAAUCUCCUUUGGAUAACAACCUCUUUGUGAAGAAGACUGGUUCAACCUUCACUGCAAUCCUCAUCUAUGUCGAUGAUAUAAUGAUUGUGAGUAAUUGCAAUGCAGAAGUUCUAUCUCUCAAAGCAGCUCUGCAUUCAAGCUUCAAUAUCAAUGAUUUGGGUGAAUUGAGAUUCUUCUUUGGCCUUGAAAUAGCUCGCUCUGCUGCUGUCAUCUCUGUAUCUCAAUGUCAGUAUGCAUUGAAUCUUCUUGAAGAUGCAUGACGUCUUGCUUGUAAAUCAAGUUUAGUGCCAAUGGAUCCGAUUGUUAAGCUUCGUCGUGAUUCUGGUACUCUACUUGAUGAUCCCAGCCCUUAUCGUACACUCAUUGGUCGUCCGCUUUAUCUUACGAUCACACGUCCUGACAUUACCUAUGCAGUGCAUGCUCGGAGCCAAUUCAUGCCAGCACCAACGGAUAUUCAUUUGCAAGCUGCUUAUCGAGUGUUGAAGUAUAUUAAGAACAAUCCAGGCCAGGGAUUGUUCUACUCUGCAAAGUCUGAAGUGUGCCUCAAUGCGUUUGCUGACUCUGAUUGGGCUACUUGUCGAGACAAUCGACGCUCGAUUACAUGAUAUUGUGUUUACCUUGGGAACUUGCUGAUUACCUGGAAGUCCAAGAAACAAGAUGUGGUCAGUAGAAGCAGCACUAAGGCUGAAUAUAUGAGCAUGGCACAAGCGACUCGUGAGCUUCUCUGGCUUCAACAACUUUUCACAUGUCUUCAUCUCAAAGUCUCCACUGGUGCAAAACUGUUUUGUGACAACAAAUCAUCUAUGUAUAUUGCUACAAACCCUGUCUUCCAUGAGAGGACAAAACAUGUAGAGAUUGAUUGUCAUAAAGUUAGAGAUCAAGUGAAGAAUGGAUUCUUGAAGCUGAUGCAUGUUGCGAGUGCUAAUUAACAUGUUGAUAUACUGACGAAACCGCUACAUCUCGGACCUUUCAACUCUAUCCUUGGUCGCAUGUCAACUUCAAGUCUUUUUACUCCACAAACAUGCUUCAUUUCAAAGACUUGAGAGGGGGGGGGAGUGUAUUAGUGUAUAUAGCCGGUUUAGGUUGGUUUAUUAGAGAAUUAUACCAAUGGUCAAGUCUCAUUUAGCUUAAACCAUUGUAUAUAUAUUAAAUCCAAUGUACAUUUUACAGAAUUAAGAAUUCAUAUUCACAUUAAUCAAUACUGGUGUAAGAAAUUGGGAGUUUCAAGAUUUUUAGAGUAUCUAGAAUUAGAGAAGGUCACAAGGAAGAAACUUGAUCUCAUGGAUGGGUUUAUAAGAGAAAAACCUGCUUUAGCUGCACAAACACAAAGGUCAUCAUCAAAAAAGUCUUACAAAUAUAAGGAGGAAGAGGAGGAGGAGACAGAAACAGAGGAGAUCAACGAUAGUCGAGAAGAUUUAAACUGAGACAAAUAAAAAAUUUCAAGAAGUGGUGACUAAACAAGAUCAAGAAGGCGAUUUGCUGGAUGAAGCGGGUGAAACGGUAGGAACGGUUGCCGGUAAUAGCUUGGUGUUAGCGUUGUUUGAUAGAGCGGUUGAAACUGAAACUGCGUCUGAACAACCGGGGUGGGAAGCGUUUGAUGAUGAUCGGCGGAUUGAGAGACGGUUGUGGUGAAAUCGGCUACGAGAUUGUCGGGACAAAAGAGUGAGCUUGGAGGAGGAUUUGAUCCUUUUUUGCUUGAUGGAAUGUAUCAGCACGGUGCGGUUAAAUCGUCUACGGCUUAUGGAGGUAGUGGAAAUGCGAGUAGCGUUGCAUGUGGUUCUGUAGAAAGACCACCGGGUAAAAAAAUUAAAUAAAAAUAUUUAAAUUCUGUUUUAGGAGAUAAAAUUAGUUUUUAUUUAAAUUGAAUUUCACUAAACAUUAUCCGAUUCCGAUUUUUAAUGUUUGAAGUCGUCUAAAAAUCUAUUUUUUCUAACUAAUAAAAUUUAUCAAGAAACUCAAAUAUAAGAAUAUUCAAAAAUCUAAUUAUGGUUGAAAUAUGUAAACUACCAAAAAUUAUUCAAAAUAACAGAAAAUAGAAAAUAGAAAAAUCUCUAAACUACUCUAAACCUUAACAUAUGUAAGAAAGUUAAUAGAUUUAACUAAUUUUAGAUAUUUUUGUAUUAUGUUAUACAUGAAUCCAAAAUACCUAUUUCGUUGGUUUUUCUAUAACGGUUUUGAUCAAAUUUCAGUAUUUUGGUUUGGGUUCAGUUUGGAUUUUAGGUUUGGUUAAAAACGCCUAGACCUAACACUUACAAUAUAUUUUCGAUUAAGUUUGGUUAAUCCGAAUUAUAAUCUGUUGUUGUUGCAAUAUGGUUAUGUGGCCUUAAUCUUAGCACUACCGGCGCCGACACCAACGGAGACAAAACCGGAAGAAUAAGUCCGUGGACCCAUUUGCGGCGUCACUAGAGGUGGCUCCACCACCGUACAUGCAAGUGCAAAUGAACGAUAUGGAGAAUAAACAGGGAUUAUUGAUGGAAGAACAAAUAAUGGGAUCAAUACAACAUAAAUGGAAGAAAAUGUCACAUGAACUUCAUGCAAACCCAACAACAACAUUUUCAAGUCCAAUACUCCAUGGGACAUUGCUCUUACACACCUCGCUACUGUAACAUAAAAUAAAAAGGCCAUUGAAGAUGAGGAGCUUUCUCUUGUCUGAGGUAAAUUGUAACUCGUCAAGAUAUGCCAACAAGGUGUUAAUGAUAUCGCCUAGCUUUUACCUAGCUAUAUUAAAAGUUCGAGUGGUGAGUUUGUAUCUAUUAAUUACCCUAAUUUACUAUAAUAUUCGAGCUAUUUAAUUAGCCCUUUUUACUGUAUAUAUAUAGUUCAUAUAGUAAUUUAAGACUAAGAUAUAUUACAUGAAUAUCUGAUCAUUACAUGCUACAAUUAUCUGACUCCAGAAAUGGACAGUCAAUAACCUUUGGUUGGAUAAAGAAUCCGAGGUCGUGGACAAGGAUAAAUUUUCAGAAUGGGAUAUAUAUUUGAGUUCAGUUUCAAAAAAAAAGAUAUAUAUUUGAGUAGUGCAAAUGGUUUGUAUUAUGAGGAUAAGGAGUGCAUGCAUGUCACUAUGUAAAAGAUCAUGAACAGCCAACCCAAAGAACAGUCUAGAGCUAUGGUCCUAUGGAUUUAUACGUGUGUUGAGAUAUAUAUAAGCCCAAAGCUCCAAAGCAAAGGAAAGGGAAUCGUGUAUAAGCAUUAUGAAUUAUUUGUACCUAGUAUUAAUUUUACAUCACCUACAAAUUUCAAUCACAAGCAAUGGAAAAGAAGUUGGUAUAUAAUGGGGACUAUAAGAGCUCGUAAAAACAAUAAGGAACUUAUAUUUUUUUUUGGUGUAAAUGUUAAGAUAAAGGAAAUUAUAUUGAUCCUAUUAACAAUGUUCUUUAAUGUUUCUUUUGACUUUUAGUGGUCGCAUUUUCUCUUUAUUUUUUGGCUUAAAGUGUUCGCAACUUCGCAUGUUCAUGCAUGCGUGUCCUCGUCUACAAACACUUUGACCUUCAUUUUUAAUCUCUUUAAAUCUUUUCCACGUUAUAUUAUUCCUCGUAGUUUUCUGCAUCUUUUUAAAUUGAUUCCUUAUCACCCUCCUCUUUAUGUGUUUCUGGUUCCUUUUGAUUUUAUAUUCCUUUUUUACUAGUUUUUUAAAAUAAAUUUCUGUUUUCAUACCAAUUUUCUUUUUUUUGAAUUUACAUGUUAAUAUUACAUGUUAAUAUAUUACAAGAUUUUGUAUAUUUUUUUCAUAGGAAUAACCUUUCAGUGAUGUGUGAUUAUCCGUCGUUAUUAAAUAGAGAAUAUAGUUUCGUCGAUUUGGUUCACUAUCUGAUUAGUAAACUAGCGACCAUCAUCGCAGUAUGCUAUACAUACAAUACUCUUGUGUUGCUUAUGUUUUUUUUUUCUUUCUGAACUAUUGCUUUGAGUUUCAUUUGCUAAAGUUAUCUUUGUAAGAUAAAUGACCAUCAAUAAAUAAGAUACGACUUAUUAAUUAGUGUGAUUACGAUAGAAAUCCGUUAACAGUGAUCAGAAAAACAUAUGCGCUUAUUUGUGUACUACCACUAACCAUAAAAAAGGGGAAAUUGGUUUUCUAGAGAGAAGGAAGAGAGAGAUAGGAAGAGAGAAUUGGAGAGAAAUUGUGUUUUUGGUUAUUUAACAAAUUUGGGUUUUUUUGUAGUUAUAGGGGCAAAUUUCCCAAAACAUAUUUUGUGGUAUAUUGCAAAACAUAUAAUAUGCUGUCUAUCACUAUGUUAUAUAUAUCUUCAAUAAUUGCAUAUAAUAUGAUGUCUAUCGCAAUCAAAGAAACUAGCUUUGAGAUGACACAUUCGUCAAUCCCUAGAGGUGCAGUUUGUGGGUCCGCCACUGAUCCUAUUAUUUUUGAUGUUGUGAUCUCGCUAUACAUAUUUCCUUUUUUAACUCAAAGAUGUAAUUUGUAUGUAAAACUUAAUUAAAAGGACACUAAUUCUUUUAACCGACGUUUUUAUUUUUAGAAAGGGAAUUCUUUAUUUUGACAAGAAAAUCUAACGUUAAAAUUGAGGAAUUUGUAAGCUGUAACAAUUAGAAAAUUAAAAGAAAUAAACAAACCCUAGAAAAGUAACCAGAAAGAAAUGCUCAUAUGCUCUUUGUCUUUGUGUUUAUGUUCCCGAUGGUAAUUAAUUUCAUUAAAGAGCAACAAAACAAUGGAAGUAGGUUCCAGUGUAACCC
This is a long non-coding RNA of Brassica rapa (field mustard), 9283 nucleotides long. RefSeq lists it as uncharacterized. Lineage: Eukaryota; Viridiplantae; Streptophyta; Magnoliopsida; Brassicales; Brassicaceae. The record is from RefSeq and is a predicted model, not a curated record.